This 1311-nucleotide long non-coding RNA is filed under the name Homo sapiens (human). RNAcentral describes it as "non-protein coding lnc-MTERF3-1:6". The record is from RNAcentral. Lineage: Eukaryota; Metazoa; Chordata; Mammalia; Primates; Hominidae.
GGACAUUUUCCCUGCUUAGGCAGCCACAGCACAGAGAUAGAAUUAGUCACAAGAUUAGUCCAGCUUAAAUAAGCAGAAGUCAAGUUAGUGCUUCACAGAUUGGUCUUUUAGCAGAUGCUCUGCCCUUUCGAGGAAUGCAAGGGGCAAAUGUGAGCUCUUAAGGAUAUUUUACAUUUGCGCAAUGAAGUUACGCUGUUCAAAAAACUUUCUCGUCUUUCUGCCUUUGUGCAACCUAAUUUCUCUUACCAGAAACCUGAGGCUCCAAAGGUAAGUCAUUUGCUUGAGAACCACAGCUAAUACCACUUUGCAUUCAGAAACCCCCAGCAGCUCCUACUGCAUAAGUGAUCAAGUCCAAACUCCUUAGGACAAAAGCGGAGGUUUGAGAAACAUUUAACAACCAUUUAUACACAUAAGUACCUGUAGUUAGGCACCAUGAGGGGUGAAAUCAAAUAAGAUGAAUUCUUAGAGAGCUGUAGUAGAAAGGAAGAAGUCUGUCAUCAUACAAAUAAUUAAUUGCAAUAAGUGUCUUAGUCGGCUCAGGCUGCUGUAACAAAAUACUAUAGACUGGGUGGCUUAAAAAACUAUUUAUUUCUCACAGUUCUGGAGGCCGGAAGUCCAGGGUCAAGGUGACAGUGGAUUCGUUUCCUGGUGAGGACCCUCUUCCUGGUUUGUACAUGUGAUUCCUAGCAGUCUCCAUUUUGAAGUUCUCUUCUCCUUUGACCAAGCGUCCAGCACAUCCUCACAACACUCCAAAGCCACCUUGAAGACUCUCUUCAAAGCAGUUCUUACUGUUGAUACCACCACCAUUGUUCCGACACAUGAAGCAGGAGGACCCAAGGCCAGAGGUCAUGGUGGAGAGAUGAGCAGAUAGUCCUCAAAGGCAGACAGGGCUGGGGUUGGAGAGGAAUUCCCUAAUAGCUGUUAUAAAUGGAGAUAUGACAGGUGUGAACAAACAACCUAGGACUGGAAGAAAGAAGAGGGAGGAGUCGGGUAGAGAUAGUACUUGGAGUGGAUGCCCAGGCUGUGUAGUGACAUAAAGGGGCUUAAAGAGGGCUUAGGGAGCAGAUCUGAGAGGAAGAGAAUGAAGGAAGGUAAGGAAUUCAGUCUUUGGCAUUCUGAUACGUUGUGAGGGCUGGGGGUGGUGACCGACUAGAUUCAGGGAACCUGAGGGCUGGGUGUUGGUUUGUGUUCUUGAAAUUACUUCCUCAGGAUUUCACAUCUAACCAAAUAUUAACAAUCAUUUACUAAAUAAAUAUUGUUCUGUCCCUGGAUGGGCAGAUGGGAGUGUUAUGCCUGCCCCUCCCCAUCCCC